RNAcentral lists this ribosomal RNA (450 nucleotides) under uncultured bacterium. Its description in RNAcentral is "partial 16S ribosomal RNA". It matches the Rfam family "Bacterial small subunit ribosomal RNA", at positions 354 to 796 of the family's 1533-position model. The record is from RNAcentral.
GUGGGGAAUUUUGGACAAUGGGCGAAAGCCUGAUCCAGCAAUGCCGCGUGUGUGAAGAAGGCCUUCGGGUUGUAAAGCACUUUUGGCAGGGAAGAAACAGUGCGUGCUAAUACCAUGCGCGAAUGACGGUACCUGCAGAAUAAGCACCGGCUAACUACGUGCCAGCAGCCGCGGUAAUACGUAGGGUGCAAGCGUUAAUCGGAAUUACUGGGCGUAAAGCGUGCGCAGGCGGCUUUGUAAGACGGAUGUGAAAGCCCCGGGCUCAACCUGGGAAGUGCAUUCGUGACUGCAAGGCUAGAGUGUGUCAGAGGGAGGUGGAAUUCCGCGUGUAGCAGUGAAAUGCGUAGAGAUGCGGAGGAACACCGAUGGCGAAGGCAGCCUCCUGGGCCUGCACUGACGCUCAUGCACGAAAGCGUGGGGAGCAAACAGGAUUAGAAACCCCUGUAGUCC